RNAcentral lists this ribosomal RNA (603 nucleotides) under uncultured bacterium. RNAcentral describes it as "bacterial SSU rRNA". It matches the Rfam family "Bacterial small subunit ribosomal RNA", at positions 85 to 720 of the family's 1533-position model. The record is from RNAcentral.
AGAUAGUAAGGUGGCGGACGGGUGAGUAACACGUAAAGACUUGCCCUGCAGUCUGGGACAACUACUGGAAACGGUAGCUAAUACCGGAUAUUGCCGCAUGGCGAAAGCUAUAUGCGCUGCAGGAGAGCUUUGCGUCCCAUUAGUUAGUUGGUGAGGUAACGGCUCACCAAGACCGCGAUGGGUAGCCGGCCUGAGAGGGUGAACGGCCACAAGGGGACUGAGACACGGCCCUUACUCCUACGGGAGGCAGCAGUGGGGAAUAUUGGACAAUGGACCAAAGUCUGAUCCAGCGAUUCUGUGUGCACGAUGACGGUCUUAGGAUUGUAAAGUGCUUUCAAUCGGGAAAAAGAAAGUGAUGGUACCGAUAGAAGAAGCGACGGCUAAAUACGUGCCAGCAGCCGCGGUAAUACGUAUGUCGCAAGCGUUAUCCGGAUUUAUUGGGCGUAAAGCGCGUCUAGGCGGUUUGGUAAGUCUGAUGUGGAAAUGCGGGGCUCAACUCCGUAUUGCGUUGGAAACUGCCAGACUAGAGUACUGGAGAGGUGGGCGGAACUACAAGUGUAGAGGUGAAAUUCGUAGAUAUUUGUAGGAAUGCCGAUAGAGAAG